This 480-nucleotide ribosomal RNA is filed under the name uncultured bacterium. Its description in RNAcentral is "partial 16S ribosomal RNA". It matches the Rfam family "Bacterial small subunit ribosomal RNA", at positions 28 to 507 of the family's 1533-position model. The record is from RNAcentral.
GAUGAACGCUAGCGGCAGGCCUAACACAUGCAAGUCGAGGGGGAGGUUACUUUCGGGUAACUGAGACCGGCGUACGGGUGCGUAACGCGUAUACAAUCUGCCUUUCACUGGGGGAUAGCCCGAAGAAAUUUGGAUUAAUACCCCAUAGUAUAGUAAUACGGCAUCGUGAUGCUAUUAAAGCUUAGGUGGUGAAAGAUGAGUAUGCGUUCUAUUAGCUAGUUGGAGAGGCAACGGCUCCCCAAGGCGAUGAUAGAUAGGGGUUCUGAGAGGGAUGUCCCCCACACUGGUACUGAGAUACGGACCAGACUGCUACGGGAGGCAGCAGUGAGGAAUAGUGGACAAUGGUCGGAAGACUGAUCCAGCCAUGCCGCGUGCAGGAUGAAGGUCUUAUGGAUUGUAAACUGCUUUUGUAAGGGAAGAAUAAGGGCUACGCGUAGUUUGAUGACGGUACCUUACGAAUAAGCAUCGGCUAACUCCGUG